Molecule: long non-coding RNA, 789 nt
Filed under: Triticum aestivum (bread wheat)
Lineage: Eukaryota; Viridiplantae; Streptophyta; Magnoliopsida; Poales; Poaceae
Description: long non-coding RNA (TAES_LNC003001)
Source: RNAcentral
CAAGAGGGGCAUCUGAUCACAUUCAUGAGCAAAGCGUUGGCCCCCGCUACCAAGGACUGCCAACUUAUGAAAAAGAGUAUCUCGCAGUGGAAUUACAAUUCAACCUGCAAAAGUUUGUCUAUGACACAAACAUCUACUAAAUUUUCAGACGGAGCAGCCGACAUGUGCAAAAGUAAUAUGGUGCAUUUCUAAUGAUCUUUUGUCUUGCUCUAAAACUACCUGUCUACCUUCAUGUGGCACAAGAUUUUGGUCAGAAUGCGACCGCUGAUAGUGCAAGAUCAGAUCACCCAUUUGAGGAGCUCUAUGUAGCCAUGGAGGAGGCUCUAGUACAUUAGCCUCGAAGUGUAUGCCUCUGCCCCACCGGUGGCACCACGGUGGACGGGUCUGCAGUCUCUGCACACACAAGGAACAUUGCCAGCACAGAUGUGAAUAUCCUUACUGUUGAUUAGAGACCCUCCUUUCAGUAUGUACUCCAUCAAUACUUAUCCAUUCAAUCUAAGGAUUUGAUAACGUAGAGACCCUAUUGUCCAAAAGCACCGAUGGUAAUAAAACACCAUGAAGUCUAUUUGAAUUAAACGAGCCCUCAAAAUUUAGCAGCCGAUUUGUAUGAUAUACUCCCUCCGUCCUAAGUUCUAGAUACAUCUCUUUUUAUCCAUUUUGAUGACAAGUAUUUUAGGACAGAGGGAGUACUAAGAAUGGCACCAUGAUUCAAAGAAAAAAAUAUAAGAGUUCGUGUGAAGAAGCCUCACAUUGAUGUCCUUCCCACCAGAGCUCCCACUAUGCCAGGAC